This is a long non-coding RNA of Spodoptera frugiperda (fall armyworm), 391 nucleotides long. RefSeq lists it as uncharacterized. The record is from RefSeq and is a predicted model, not a curated record. Lineage: Eukaryota; Metazoa; Arthropoda; Insecta; Lepidoptera; Noctuidae. The transcript has 2 exons.
CAAAAUUGACAUUGACAUUGUAAAUUUUUGUGUACAAUUUCGUCGAUUUCAUGUCGCUUAAUAUUUUAUAAAAUUAUUUAUAAAAAUAUUUUUAUAAAAGAAUAAUUACACAAUGACAAAAGCAUCAGUGCGACGUAGCGUAACGGACUCCGAGAUAGGUUCGAUAAGGUCGGACCGGGCCAACAAGUUGGGCGCGAUCCUCUGCCCCACAAUAUGCGCCCUGCUCCUCGUCUGCAUAUUCGCAGUCUCCUUCAUCGGGACCAAACUCGCCUACGAACAAUAUGACGCCCUAUGUACUGAUAAACGGUUCGAUGUCGGCAAACUCUACAGCAAAAUUCCUAUGAACUUAACUAUAAAAUUCGUAUAUUUAAACACGAGUAAUAUUUAAUUA